This 489-nucleotide long non-coding RNA is filed under the name Crocodylus porosus (Australian saltwater crocodile). RNAcentral describes it as "lncRNA (ENSCPRG00005014218.1)". Lineage: Eukaryota; Metazoa; Chordata; Crocodylia; Crocodylidae. The record is from RNAcentral.
CUUCCACAAAUAUUCUUGGAUCUCACAGGAAGUUUUAAUGGAAUUCAUCCUGCAAGAUUCUUAUUUUAACCCACAGUCCUUGGUUGUACGGAUAUGCUCCCAUCGUUAUUGAGAGUGAAGGUGGAGUGCAGACACAUCAUAGUCACAACUGGAGAGAGACAAAGCAACUUCCAAAGACAGAGUUCCUGUUUUAUACUCACUCCAUCUCUACAGUCCAGAUGUACCUACACAGGCAGUGGAGAUCCCAAAACAGAAAACCUCUAGUAUGUUCUCUUGGCACUGAAUUUCUGGAGGUUGCUCAAGUGACAUCUUUCAAGAACAAAGGCCCCUUUCUGAAAGAACAGAUAUUGUAAGCAAGGCAGCAGGAAAAGCUUCUCACCAGUGCUGCUCCUCACUUCUAGGGCAACACAGGAGUGUGGGUUGAGGGUCUUGUCUAGUGCUCAGGCAAUGAGCACUAAGAUAUAGACAUCUGCCUGCUGUGAAGUGGAU